UAGGGAAUCUUCCACAAUGGGCAAAGCCUGAUGGAGCAACGCCGCGUGUGUGAUGAAGGGUUUCGGCUCGUAAAACACUGUUGUAAGAGAAGAAUGACAUUGAGAGUAACUGUUCAAUGUGUGACGGUAUCUUACCAGAAAGGAACGGCUAAAUACGUGCCAC
This 163-nucleotide ribosomal RNA is filed under the name uncultured bacterium. RNAcentral describes it as "partial 16S rRNA". It matches the Rfam family "Bacterial small subunit ribosomal RNA", at positions 355 to 511 of the family's 1533-position model. The record is from RNAcentral.